Molecule: ribosomal RNA, 400 nt
Filed under: uncultured bacterium
Lineage: Bacteria
Description: bacterial SSU rRNA
Rfam family: Bacterial small subunit ribosomal RNA
Source: RNAcentral
CUAACACAUGCAAGUCGAACGGCAGCACGGGUGCUUGACACCUGGUGGCGGUGGCGAACGGGUGAGUAAUAUAUCGGAACAUGUCCGGAAGUGGGGGAUGCUCGGCGAAAGCCGGAUUAAUACCGCAUAUGCCCUGAGGGGGAAAGGAGGGAUCCGCAAGGACCUUUCGCUUUCGGAGUGGCCGAUAUCGGAUGAGCAGUUGGUGAGGUAAAGGCUCACCAAGGCGACGAUCCGUAGCUGGUCUGAAGGACGACCAGCCACACUGGAACUGAGACACGGUCCAGACUCCUACGGGGGCAGCAGUGGGGAAUUUUGGACAAUGGGGGCAACCCUGAUCCAGCCAUCCGCGUGAGUGAAGAAGGCCUUCGCGCUAGUAUACCUCUCUCACACGGACGAACCG